This 499-nucleotide ribosomal RNA is filed under the name uncultured bacterium. RNAcentral's name for it is "bacterial SSU rRNA". It matches the Rfam family "Bacterial small subunit ribosomal RNA", at positions 17 to 518 of the family's 1533-position model. The record is from RNAcentral.
UUAUGGCUCAGGAUGAACGCUGGCGGCGUGCCUAACACAUGCAAGUCGAACGGAGUAAUUAAGCGGAAGUUUCGGAUGGAAGCAUAGUACUUAGUGGCGGACGGGUGAGUAACGCGUGGGCAACCUGCCCUGUACCGGGGGAUAACACUUAGAAAUAGGUGCUAAUACCGCAUAAGCGCACAGCUUCGCAUGAAGGUGUGUGAAAAACUCCGGUGGUACAGGAUGGACCCGCGUCUGAUUAGCUAGUUGGUGGGGUAGAGGCCUACCAAGGCGACGAUCAGUAGCCGGCCUGAGAGGGUGACCGGCCACAUUGGGACUGAGACACGGCCCAAACUCCUACGGGAGGCAGCAGUGGGGAAUAUUGCACAAUGGGGGAAACCCUGAUGCAAGCGACGCCGCGUGAGUGAAGAAGUAUUUCGGUAUGUAAAGCUCUAUCAGCAGGGAAGAAAAUGACGGUACCUGACUAAGAAGCCCCGGCUAACUACGUGCCAGCAGCCGC